UGCCAUAACAUAUUGAAACACUACUUCCUGUAUGAUCACUGAAGUUAAGCAACAUGGAGCCUGGUCAGUACUUAGAUGGGUAACUGCUUGGAAAUACCAGGUGUUGUAAG
This is a non-coding RNA of Acanthosepion pharaonis, 110 nucleotides long. Lineage: Eukaryota; Metazoa; Mollusca; Cephalopoda; Sepiida; Sepiidae. The record is from the annotation of a GenBank genome assembly.